This 301-nucleotide ribosomal RNA is filed under the name uncultured bacterium. Its description in RNAcentral is "partial 16S ribosomal RNA". It matches the Rfam family "Bacterial small subunit ribosomal RNA", at positions 509 to 809 of the family's 1533-position model. The record is from RNAcentral.
CAGCCGCCACGGGAAUACAGAGGGUGCGAGCGUUAAUCGGAUUUACUGGGCGUAAAGCGUGCGUAGGCGGCUUCUUAAGUCGGAUGUGAAAUCCCUGAGCUUAACUUAGGAAUUGCAUUCGAUACUGGGAAGCUAGAGUAUGGGAGAGGAUGGUAGAAUUCCAGGUGUAGCGGUGAAAUGCGUAGAGAUCUGGAGGAAUACCGAUGGCGAAGGCAGCCAUCUGGCCUAAUACUGACGCUGAGGUACGAAAGCAUGGGGAGCAAACAGGAUUAGAUACCCCGGUAGUCCCUGUCUUUUAUAC